Vicugna pacos (alpaca) is the source of this 5193-nucleotide non-coding RNA. The record is from RefSeq and is a predicted model, not a curated record. Lineage: Eukaryota; Metazoa; Chordata; Mammalia; Artiodactyla; Camelidae.
AGUGGGACAUUAUGCUGUAUACCAGAAAUUGACACAUUGUAAGUGACUAUUCUUCAGUUAAAAAAAAAGAAAUAACACCUUUACAAAUACUCUGUAGAUUUUUCCUUUCCACUGUGUGCAUGUAGGAUGGAAACAACAUGUACUAGGAUUUCAAAAGAAACACUAGGCCAUGUGCUAAAAAGAAAUGUCUAGUAGCACAUCCCAUACCAGCCUUUGUGUCAUUAAAGCAGCUGAUCUAGUUUGGGCCAAAGAGACAAGUCAAACACAUGAAAGUUGUAAAGAAGAGAACAGCUGAAGGUAUAAAUAGUUCAUGGGAAAUUGAAUUUCCUGCUUUCAAGACAAUGGAUUAGUCAACUGAGUGACAAGGCUAAAUAAAGGUCUGAAAUCUUUCAAGCCAUGCAGCUUAAAUGAAUGAGUUUUCCUAGUGAAAGAUACGUACUGUGCCCAGAUUCACUGUGAAAAUUCUCUGCUUUUAUUAAGAGGGGUAGGACUGUUCAAUGUGGCUUGAAAUCUAUAGGAUUCUCUUCUACAGUUUCUCAGUUCUAUUUUUCUUAAAGGGUAGUGCUAAACUAUAUAAAAAUUACCCAGGUUCGUGAAUGAAAUUAUUCCUAGGCCCUUAAAUUUAAAAAAAAGAAAUGUUACUGUGGUAUUAAUACUUGAAAUGAGCAGCAUGGAAGAAUGCAGGGUCCAAUUCACCCAACACACAAAAAAGCCUCAGAAACCAAAUGACAGUAACACUGAGUGGCAAAAUUCUCACCAAGUUCCGAUUCUUGACACUCUGAUCUCUCUUAGAUUGCAGUUCAGUAUGUACAUCUUGAAUGACAUCAUCAAGGAUUUCAUUCAUCUUCUCAAGUGUUUUGAUAUCAUCCUACAAGAAAACACAGAGGGCAUCUCAUGGCCAGUGAGGGAUAAAACACGCCACAGAAAUCCAGGAGAAAGACCUUUGAUUUGAGUGAAUUUUCCAAUCAAUAUGCAUGAGGAUAUUUCACUUACAAUGACAGGUCUGUUAUAAUUAACAAGUCAGGGGAUCUGUUCUCAAUUUUAGAACUUUGCACUCCAAACUCUGCCACUUGGACCAGUUAAUUUAAGUCAUCUGCAAAGCUCGUUUAUACAGAAUAAUUUGUUCCCGACAACGUUGGAUAACUGACGCAUCUCUCAAAUAAGCUCUUGUCCUGCUCUCUCCUAAGUUAACGUAUUAACAGAUCCUAAAAUAGAAACCAUGUCCAAGGGUGCCUGGGACAUCAAUGUGCUUAGAAAUGAGAGGAUGUGACAGAGUAAACAGAGGAUGCUUUUUGCCAGGACCAUUUCACUUCACUACAGUGAGUUAUGUAUAGCAGUUACCUAUGCCCUAGUGUUGGUCUUAAUCUAACCACAUCUUCAAGUUUCAUCUUGGUUUGUUAAUAAAAGACUGCUGCACAUGUUCAGAGAGUAUAAUGCUUUUCCAAAGAAGGUAUUAUAUGAGCACAACAAGACAUAAUCAAAUCAGCAAGUUUUGUAAACAGAAAUGCAUUAGAAAAAACUUUAAAAUUACCUUGUCCCCUAUAGAAAAGCAUGUUUCUUUUUUCUAUUUUAUGAUAUUUUCAUGCAACACUUUUAAUUUGUUCUUACUGUACAUAGAAGCAUAUACCUUUUAAGCUACACUGUAUAGAAACUCAUGGUUUCUGCUUUUUCCAUUUGACAUUAACCUUGUCCAUUUCUCUUUUUUGCAUUUUUGAAUUUUUUUAGGUAGAAUUAUUACAAUUUGACUGCACAUAUACAAUAUACUGCAUGUAAAAACAUACGUACAAUAUACUGCACAUAUUUUUAAAAUUUACAUAUAUGUAUUAUUGUUUCUAAGAACAGUUUAGAGCUUUAGCUUUUUUUUUUCAGUAGAGAAAAAUUCUUAAUGCAUUCUUGUAAGAUUGGUCAAACACAAGUAAAAAUAAAUCCAUUUAUCCAAAGAAUAGUCUUUAGAGAAAUAAUUUAAAAUAAAAUUGCAUGCACUCUUAUUUUUUUUAUAAUGGCAAUCAAGGGGUUAAACUAAAAAUGAGAGAAAAUGCUUUUUUUUUUUGUCCAGAAACUCAAAAUAUACAUGUGUGAUUAUACCCUCGGGAUAAAGGACAUUGUUCAGUUAUUGAAGGGAAAAGUUUCAUUAGUGUAUUAAUGAUUUGGGGACAAUUGGAUAAUUAUUUGGGAAGAUAACAUAAGUUUCCCAUUUCCUUUAUGUCCUGUAUGUAUAGAACAUAUAGAAAAGUCCACUGAUCAUCCAGGGAUGGAACUGAUCUAUCCCAGCGUAUAUCCACAGAUCACGAGCCACAUAGGAAAAGGUUCAUAGAUGUGACAACAGAAAACUCAAAAAACUUUGUGUUACUCCUUUGAAAAAUGACUACUCCCCAAAAAAACUUACUGGGAAAAUGUUUUUAAUAUGUGCAAUUAACAAAUGAUCAGUACCCAUAGUGUGUUGUGUCUGUAAAGGGCUCCUACUGAUCAGUAAGAAAAGGCAAGCUUCAUUAAGGAUCAGGAGAUACAACAUAAAGGGUCACAUGUAUUCAGCAUGCAUAGGAAUAAUUUGCCGAAUUGACAAUCUCAUAAAGAUGAGGACCGUCCAGAGUGGGGGUGUGAGAAAUGGGUUCUCAUGUCUGGUUGGAAGGAUUCCAGAAUGUCCAGAUGUGAUCUCUACACUGGCAAUUCCACAUCUAGGAGUUUAUUCCUGGGAUCGUCACAUAUGUGCUCAAAGACGUAAGUAAAGGAUGUUCAUAAUUUUCAGUGGGGAAAAUUUGGGAUUGAACUAAGUGGUCACCAAUAAUGAGUUAAAUAAAUGAUGGCCAGUCAACUUGACAGGCUUCUGUACAGUUGGGAAAAGAUAUGUAGUUUUAUAUACAAUGAGAUAGAAAUGUUUGGUCAUAUGUUAAGUAUAGAAAUACUGAUUCUCUUUAUAAAAAUAUAAAAUACAUGUCUACAUGCAUUGGUAACAGGUCUUUGGAAGAUGUACACCAAGUAUCUCUUCGUAUAGUGAGAGCUGCUUUGAAUCAGUGAUGCAGUUAUGAGAGAUUUUCAUUUUCUUUAACUUCUAUCCUUUCUUUUCUUUCCUUUUUAAAAAGAAAUUACAGUGUGCAUGUGUUAGUGGCAAAUGUAAUUAGACUGUUGUCUUAUCCUUACCAAACACCAGACUUGACUAGAGUGGGCUCAUUAAAUAUUAAUUAAAAUUUCCUAGUGAAAUGAAAACAACACAGACAGCUCACAAGAUGGAUGCACUUUAAAGCACUUUUUUGAGAUAUAAAGUAACUCUCAAAUUAUGGCCACACUGGACACUUUGAGGCUGAGGGAGUAAACUUUCUGUGGGUCCCAUUCUCCUUUUAAGUGAUUAAUUUCUUGUAAUUGAAAAGCUGGCCAAUGCAAUCUAGCUGACACUUACAAACUCUCUGAAGAUGAUGACGGAUGAGUUUAUAACUGAAACUCGGGUGAAUUACAACUUUUCUUCUCUCAUGGCUUGAUAUCUGGAAGGUCUGAAGGAUGAGCCCUAGGAAGUGUGGAAAGGAAGAUGAUUCAACCAUCAAGAGAGCCAAAUUUGCAUGCUCCAUAUGAUUUCUCUGAUGCCUAAACAUCAUACUUUAUACUAAUAAAAAUUCGGUUUAAACUACAGGUCAUUGUGAAUAGUGAGUGAGAUAUUUUUGCACAGGCAUUAUCUUUGUAUUCGAGGUUUUAAAAUUUAAAAACCUCAUUCUAGUUUUAGUAAAGCCAUUUAAAAAUGAACCCAAGUUGAAAGAAAUCAGCUAUAUUGUGAAACACAUCAUAUCCCCGAAUACAGCAGCUGCAGUCAGAAGCGUUUGCUCCGAUGUUACCUCGAAACAUCGGAUAGUUUUUAGAAUAGUACUUAGAGCAGGACACCAAAACGGAAGUUACACUGUGAUUUAGUUCCCUGCAUGGAAUCGGGGUAGUUUCUAUGAAGAAUGCAAAACUUAAAAAAAGAAAAUACAUGAAUGAGCCGGUGUGUUUGUUGUCCAGCCAAAUCUUGCAAUGUAUUACAUAUGAAUGCUCUUUUAAUAAUAGUAUGUAGGUAAAAUAUGAAAAUGUUGUGUAUCAAUAUAAGAUAAUGAAUUUGAAGAAUGCGGGUCAUAGGUUCAGAUGGUAUGUGAAUUAACAGUUACAAGCCAGCAGGGGUUGCGGCUUCAGGGAAGGGAAAAAUGGGGUGACCUGGAGUAUAGACUGAGGGUGAGGACACUGAGGUGGGUCUGGGACAAUAGUUGGGAUUUAAUUCAAAGGCAGACCCUGGAGGUCUUGGAAUAGAUUCCAGAAACCCCAGGGAAAUUAUCAGCAACUCACCCAUCUACUUAGGAAGCAUUUUCUGUUAUCUCUGAUGAUUUAGGGAAAAGGGUUUAAUAUAACAUCCUUCAUCAUCUAAGUGUUUAAACAUUUUUCCUUACAAAUAAAUGAAUGAAUAAAAGCUGAACCAUCAGCCAGGCAGGGAACUAGCAUUUAAAGACACACAUUUCUUCUAUCUUCCUUCAUGAUCUUUGCUAUGGUAUUUACAGUUAUUCUUUAAAUGCUAGCACGGCAGAACUAAACCUGUUUAGAAUUUGCGACCAGCUGCUGUCUUCUUUGUUCCUUACAGAAGCCCUGGUGUAGGUCUGUUACCUUCCUUCUGUGAGUGAGGAGAUCCAGGAACAGAGAGGUUGACUUUCCUGGUCUUACAUGUCCUAGAAGACCUGAGGUUGGGUCCAUCCCUGACUCACUCACACCCUGUGGCCUUCUUACUGGAAACCUGAUUUGAAUCCAAUCUCUUGUAACUGAUGAGUCUUAACAUUGUACCUGAUUCAUGGCUGACAUUCUGGAAUGGGAACUAUGAGACAGCUCUCUGGUGCUAUUGCAAAAGUGCUUCAUCUUCAAGAAGAUUCAUAAGAAGGCUAUGGAAGCGGUGACAACAGUUACCACAUCAAAAUGACAGCUAUGUGAGGACACCGCCAUCUAACUCAAAACAAGCUGUCCUGUCCCGGGAGCCCUAGAUUAGGUAUUGAGAUAGAGGGUCAGUGCCCCAGCUCAGCCCUUAAGCAGUUUCCAAAGACAGACCAUUGCUCCUCUGCACCCCAAAAAAUUAUGGGAGUAAAAUCUCUGAGGGGGGAAUGAGACAGGAUGGAAGGGGGCAGGCAGAGCCAUUCAAGGAAUGACAGCAACUUAACACCAAAAUGGUGGAAGAUUCAACUCCCAGUUGGCCUU